UUCUAGCCUAGGCUGGCCUUGCACUACCAUA
Molecule: non-coding RNA, 31 nt
Filed under: Rattus norvegicus (Norway rat)
Lineage: Eukaryota; Metazoa; Chordata; Mammalia; Rodentia; Muridae
Source: RNAcentral